This is a long non-coding RNA of Equus asinus (donkey), 1598 nucleotides long. Lineage: Eukaryota; Metazoa; Chordata; Mammalia; Perissodactyla; Equidae. The record is from Ensembl.
ACUCAGGCUCUGCCCAUUUGCAGGGAUUCCGAGUUAAUUAAUCUGGGUGGGGUGGUUUUAUCUCAACGCGCUUCCUUCUAAUAAGUCGCCAAGGUUGGGGAUCGCCAUAGCCCCCCAAGGCAAGUUUGGGAAGCAUCGCCAUGCGCUCUUUCCUGGGUCCAGGCCAUGGGAAGGAAACGGGAGUCAACCCGCCCCCGGAAACCUGAAGCACUGCGUCAGAACCGAACGCCCGGAGCCGCCCGCCCCUGAGUCCAGGCUGAUUCCUCAGGCCGCCGCCGUCCGGGUCGGUUUUGAGACGUGGGCGGUGGACCGCUUCUCAGACCCGCCACCCGCCUCCUGCAGGGAUCUUCCUCCUCCCGGGCUAAGGCUCAGGCUGGCUCCUGCCAGCACAGCGCGCGCGCACACGGGGGAAAGCUUUGAAAAAAUGACGGCGUAGACGAGCUCACCGGCGGCGGGGCUGCGGAGCGGUUGGAGUUGACUCCCUGCAGCAGGGAAUCCCUCGGUCCCACGCCCGCUCCCCGCCCGCAAGCUGCGGCACUGAAGGCCAGGGACGAGGGCAGCGAGCGCGCCGCCCGAGGGCAGUGAAGACUCAUUUGGGAAUUAAUGAUUAAGUAAGACUUGCACAAAGUAAUGAAGGAGCAGUAAGAAGGCCAAGAAAGAAUACCGCUGGCCAUCAAAGAAGUCGAUGACCUGCAAAUGGAAAUAGUGGUAGUCCAAAGUGUUUUGAAAGACUUUUCUACAAAUUGGUCCUUUUGAAAGUGUUUUCAGAGAGACCUUUUCAAAACCUGGAACUGAAUCUCAGAGUGUGCCUGAGGGAUCUCCAACCGGGCACAAGCUCUCCGUGUAAACAGAAGUCCACUGACCCUGGACGGUAUUAUCUGAGACACCGAAGAGCUGAUUGAAAGUUCUCUGUGCUUCAGAAGCACACAUUUGGCACAGGGACCUUCAUGCAUCGCUGACCUUCUCUGUUUUCUUAGGCUGGUCUGGUUCCCCAAAGAAGAACCCUGAAGCCUCCUGCUGAGGAUUUAAGCUGGAUGCAGGGCCUGUGAGCUGACGGGAUCAGAGUUCAAGUGGAUGUCUCACCCUUAAGUGUGCUUUGUGGUUCUUUAAUCCUGUCGUUUUCUGGUUGGCACCUUGCUCCCACCCUCCCUCGAGCUAUGACUGGGGUCCCUGAGUGCAGAUCUUCCCUGCCUCAGUGUCUCCAGAAAGUACAUCUCCUAGUCUGUGGGACACGGGGGUCAGUCGGCCAGCUCUGCUGGCUUGGCAAGGGACCUGGGGCUCUGCUUCUACUUGGACGGCCCCUAAGCCCAGCCUGUGGUGGCCCCAGAGAUGCCCCCAGUCUGCCAUUCCCAAGCCUUUCUGGGAUGCUGCUUCAGCCAUCUCACCCUGCUGAUGGCCCCCCACCUGGAGACGGGGUUCCUGCUUGCUCUCCUCUGCUGAGUGGAUAACCUCUUCCGUCUUCCAAAGCUCGGUCGCUCUCUCUUCUCUCCAACUCUUUGAGUGUUUUAUGGUGAUUAUUAGGAUUCCUUAUGGUAGGGUCUCAGGAGGGCGUGCAGAUGACCCUGAGGGUCCGCCGUGUCCAUGAGCGAUCAGCCCUG